UUUUGCUUUACCAAUAUGGCGCUGCUGCUGUUAUGAGAUGACAACAUCGCAGUUUGUGUCCUAUUUGUUAUUAUUAAUGUUACAAUCAACAUUAAAUAACUACCUCAAGAUUACAAAGAAAAUUGGUAAUUGUAAUGUAAGUUUCGUUAAAGUGAAGCCCAAGUUGUCAGUGAAUUAUACUUUCGAAUGGGUCAGUGGGAAAAGUAUAUAGCUCCUGUAAAAAUGGCGGGUGUGUUAUCUUUAUGGACUGUGUUUUCAUUUCAUUACUAAUUCUUAGUCUUUGAGAUUUGAGCAAAAUCAUCUAUAAAUCGAGUUGAAACAAACUUAUAUUACAACAUGUGCCGAUUACAAAUUUGACAAUUGGAGCAGUGACCGUUUUACGGAGUUAAGGCAGGUGUCAACGUUUUUGAUGAAAUUAUCAGAAUGUCACGCUGGGGAAGAGGCCGAGGUGGCAGCGUGGCUGUGCCGCUGGACAGUGCGCUGUUUAGAGAAAACAGCAAUUGUCCCUCAGCCGCUCGUUCAGCGGGAACUGUUGGCAAAUGGGGAAUGACCAGUUUUACAUCAAUCAGAAGCGCUCCUUACGCAUAUAACAAUGCAAAGAAGCCUGUUCAAGAUCAAAAUAGUCCUUUGACUGUGCCAGCUGUAGACACCGAACAACCUCCGCCAAAACCGAAGAAAUUUUUUAAAUCUCGCAAUGCUGAAACUUUCCCACCUGUGCCUCAAAUUGCUUAUGCACCCCAGCAAGUACCACCACUUUCGCCAGAACAUCCACCAAGUUUUAAGGAAAAGAAAUCAACUAAAAGAUGUAGAUAUAAUAGAGACUCUUCUUCACCAGAAUUACCUCGACGUAACUCUGAAAAAACAAAAACUAAAAAGACCACAGUGGCUACUAAAGCUUCCAAAAAGGAAGAACCCACCAGUGACAAUUCACAACCACCAAAUAAACGAUAUUUAGUGCGUAACCGUAGCAAAGUUAUAAAUUAUGCAGAGGAUGGUAGCAACAGUCCCAUACCAGAUAUGACAACUCGUUAUGAAUCAUUACCACCAAGGGCACAGUCACCCAAAGCUAGUCCGUUAAUUUCCAGUCCAGUGCCAGCAAAGCCAGUAGCAGAUGUAGUCAGCCCUUCUACCAGUAAAGAAUUAAAUGAAGAGCGUAAACCACCACCUAUUGUACUCAGAAUAUCAAAAGGUACAUCAAGAAUAGUAAGCACAGACUCAAAUGAAGGAUUUACAUCUCCUGGUUCUGAUAGACAUUCUUCUAUGGACAUGCAUUCUGAUUUGGAUCAUAAAAAGAGUCCUUCAAUGGAAACAAUUUGUUCACCUAAGCAUGAAGGCCUUAAAAUCACAAUUAAGUGUUCUUCUCUUAAUCAAGAAAAUAAGAAAGAGAAGAAAAAGGACAAAAAAGAAGGACAUCACAAGUCCCAUAAACGGCAUCACAAAAAUAGUGAUGAUGAACCCCUUAAGAAAGCCAGUUCCCCAUUACCAGGCACUGAUACAUAUGACCUGUAUAAGACCUUAGCUUCACCUGUUCACGAGGAGGAGUCAAACACUAAAACAAAAGCUGAAAAUGUUGAGGCACAAUUGGCUAAGAUCAUUUCUACGGAUUCAACAACAAAACCUAAAACUGAAUCGAAAGCUCUUUUACCUGAACCAAAACAACCUGAGGGUAGGUCUAGACGCAAUAGGCCAAACAUUAAUUACAGUGAAAAUGAUGAUUAUUUAGAUGUGUUAACAUCAAAAGUCUCAAACAAAAAUUCUACAAAGACUGUUAGUGAUAUUAAAAAAGAUGUUAGAAAGAGUAAGAGAAGACUCGAUGUUGCAGCAACUCCAGACUCAAAUGAUGUGAAUGAGAUUCAUUCAGAAACUGAAAAAGAAGCCGAAUCUCAUUAUGACGAUGAUGAUUUGAUCAACAUUCUGUCAGGUGAUAAUGAUAAAAUUAAGUCUAAUAAUGACUUGCAAAAAGCAAAAGUUAAUAAAAAACAAAAGAAUAAACAAAAACAACAGAACUCUACCAAUGAUAUUCAAUCUCCAAAUCCUGAAGAUUCUUUAAGUGUGCCACAACUCGAUGAAAGUUAUGAUGAGGAUGAACAUUUGGCAGAAGAGCCUAGAAGUGAUGAUAUGGAUUAUGAAGAUGACGGAGGAGUUCAAGAAGAAAAGGAAGGAGAAUCUCAGACUGAAAAGGCAAUGGAACAACAGGAAAGAAAUCAUCCAUCAGAUCUUCAACCUGGGAGUCAAAUGGAAGGUCAAGGAAUAGAUUCAAAUGAAGAUCUAUGCCAUAAUACACCAACUCAGUCAUCAGAUUCUGCAUACAAUAGUUGUCCCAAUGAGAACUCAGAGGAAGAAUCACAAAGAAACAUAGCUGAUGAUCAUUUUAAAGCUCCGAAUGGUGUAAAUGAGCUGGAUGGUACAGAUGAUAAGCCAAGUGUAAAGUUGGUAAUAACGAAGAAGAAAGGCUCUAUAUUUAAGAGCAAGUCUUUGGUUAAUGAUAACCCUUCUCCAUUACCAGCUAGAAAAAGACGGCACUUGUACAGACAUCAGUGGGCUAAUGAUAAAGGGAAUGAGACUCCAAGACCAGACAGGCCAGAAAACCCUGAAGUGAGUAAUCCUGUCCGUCAAGUGCCUGAAGCAUUAACUAGAGUCACAAGAUACAGAUCUCCGGAUCCUAUUAUAGCUGAAAUAGAUGCUCCCGAGCCUGGAGUACCCUAUACAAGUGUUCGUUGUGCCAAAGAAGCUAAGGAAUAUUACACUGUUGUAAGAAAUGUAAAGAAAGCACAUCAAAUUCAAGAAAUUGGAGAAUUCCAAGAGUUCAAUGAUGAUGUGGAAUACCUUCUAGAUGCACUGCAGGACAACAAUCCGAUGUCAACACGUUGCUUGUCGGCCAUCACGCUGGCCAGCAAAUGCACAGCGCCCGCAUUCCGCAUGCACUUACGAGCGCACGGCACAGUGCAGAAGUUCUUCAGUGCCCUUCACGAUGCCACCAAUGAUCAAAGCCUGGGGCUGUGUACUGCCACAGUUAUGUUUGUACUGUCACAAGACCGUCUAAAUAUGGACUUGGACAGAGAAUCAUUAGAGCUUAUGCUGAAUCUUCUCGAAUCUGAUGUUUCUCACAAGAAUGCCUUAGAUGAUUGUGGGUUGACAUCGGCACAACUUGCAAAGACUCAAGAAAGGGUCAGAGAAUUGUGUGCUGAGAUUAAGAGCCAAGGAAAGGCGACGCAUUUAGACUUGGAGAAUAUAACUGUUGGUCACUUAGCAAUGGAAACGUUACUAUCGUUAACAUCGAAGCGUGCGGGAGAGUGGUUCAAGGAGGAAUUGCGCGUGCUGGGCGGCGUGGACCACAUCGUACGCACCAUACAAGACUGCGCUGCUCGCUUGCACGCGCCAGCCACAGCCUGGUCCAGCGCAGAGGUCGACGUGCUCCGCAAGGCCGACAGGUGCAUGAGGGUUUUGGAGAAUGUGACGCAGCAGAAUGAAGAUAACCAGGUGUACCUGGUGGGCGAGCCACUGGGCGGGGCACGCACGCUGGCCGCGCUGCUACGCCGUUGCGUGAUGGAGGCACGCGAGCAGCCCGCCUUGCGCCCGCCGCUGCUGGAUGCCGCACUGCCCGCGCUCAAGGUUCUCGUCAACCUCUCGCACAGCUUCGGCAGUGUCGCAUCGAUAGGCGCCCAAGUGGUAGGAGAGCAGCCGUAUAUAAUGGAAACCUGCUUAAUUAUGUUGUACAACCAAGGCUGCUUCAUACCUGACAACAAUAACUUCGAGUUUAGUGUUUGUGUGCUUCUAUUGUUGAUAAAUCUGGUCCAAAACAAUGAGAGUAACACACAGAAACUGUUGGAUGUUCACAUAACAGUGGAUAAUGGGGACACAUCAACAAACACACCUGCUUUGGAUCUCAUAGUUGAUUUGUUUUAUAAACGGGAAGAGCUCGCAAGGCGGGCUGAAGAAAAUACUGAUGCGCUGCUAGACGGCGAGAAAGAAGAGACUGAUGAUGAGAAAGAUAAAAAGAAACAGUCGGUCGACGAUAUAGCGGAGACUGUCGAUAAAUUGUUGGCGCGAGCUGGUGCGCAUAUGGAGCAUACGAUGGUGUGCGCGUACAUCGCGCUGCUGCUGGGUCACGCUGCGAGCUGCGCACGCGCACCCGCCGCCGCAGUGCGCGAGCGUGUGCCGCGUUACGAGCCUCUACUUCCCACGCUGCGGAAGUACUACACCUUCCUCUCCCUUACUGCAAGCGCGGAAGCUUCGAUAGUUGCGCACGUGAAGGCGACGCAGAGAAUAAUAGAGUUUAUGGAGACGAGUGACAAAGAGAGUUCUCAGGAUACGCCUCAGCAGCCUCCAGCUGAAUACCCUCGCCCCUACGGCAACUACUACCAGCCCUGUGCAGACCUACCGCAAGACAUGUCCCUCAGCAACCUCAAUUAUACCAUGAACUCCUCGUCCAGCUCCGACAGAAUGUCAUCAUCGAUGGAUGUCGAUGGAUACCACUGAACCAACACACAGACUGCCUUAUUUAUUAAUAUGUUCGCACAUUUGCAAAAUAAAUCAGGUUUGUAGCACUAUGUCUUCUAAACAGUUCAGGCACAUACUUUUAGAUCUUAGAAAAGGAACAACAUGGUCUGCUAUAUGUUUAGAAUACGCUAAUAUUAACCGAGUAAAAUACCUCUAUUCAUAAACCUACAAGACCUAUAUCUAUUGAUUUUCUUAAAAAUAGUAUAUUACUUAAUUUUAUAUAAUCUAUGAGGUCGACAAAAGUGCGUGUAUUUUGUUAAUCUACGAACAAUUAUCCUCAGUAGAUAGUUUAAUUAAGCACAUGAUUUAGUAAAUAAAUGAUGCACCAACUAAAUUAUGUUAUUUAGGAUGAUACGGAACGGUAAAGGGAAGAAACACAAAGAAGAAUCUAUGUAACAAUUUUUUUUUUAAUUUCUGUAAGUGACUGCGAAAAGAGAAUAAUUGGUUGUACUUUUGUUGUAAAUUAACAUAGUCUCAAGAUCACCAUUUAUGUAACUGUUUUAAAAUAAAUCAAUCUAUUUUUAUAAAUGACCGAGAUGUGACUUGAUUGAUGAUUCCGUCUAUCGAAUUGCGCCAUUCUAAUUAUCAAAAUUGAUUAUUACAUUAUUAUUUGGAGAUUUGCGUAUUAUAUUUUAAGCGUGUAUUGUCAAUCCACGAUAAUUUUGCAUAGGUUUAAAAAGGUCACUAACAAGUUUUGUUAUUGUCAGAGAUGUUUAGUAAACGAUCAAACAUAUUUGACAAAUUGCUAUUCAUCAAAUAACUCAUUUAGUUCACUUCACAGGCUUAGUUAGACAAAAAUAUUUUUUUAUAGGCAUUUAGCGUUAUUACUAAAUAUUGCCACGUACAAAACUAUCAAUUUGUAAAAUCCUUUGUAGAGUUAUCGUGAUUUGACAAUAUUUUCUCUACUACUUUACGCAUUUUGUCGUAAUUUUUUUUUGGGCAAAUCCGUAAUUGAUUUGUUUUUACUAUAAAUACAUUGUUUAUUGUCUGUCA
This is an RNA transcript of Papilio xuthus (Asian swallowtail), 5493 nucleotides long. It is a transcript of the gene named cohesin release factor wings apart-like, with no coding region annotated. The record is from RefSeq and is a predicted model, not a curated record. The transcript is spliced from 15 exons. NCBI's taxonomy places the organism in Eukaryota, Metazoa, Arthropoda, Insecta, Lepidoptera, Papilionidae.